GCCCCGGUAAACGGCGGCCGUAACAAUAACGGUCCUAAGGUAGCGAAAUUCCUUGUCGGGUAAGUUCCGACCUGCACGAAUGGUGUAACCAUGGCCAUGCUGUCUCCACCCGAGACUCAGUGAAAUCGAAUUCGCCGUGAAGAUGCGGUGUACCCGCGGCUAGACGGAAAGACCCCGUGAACCUUUACUACAGCUUGGCACUGAACAUUGAACCUACAUGUGUAGGAUAGGUGGGAGGCUUUGAAGGCGUGACGCUAGUUGCGCUGGAGCCGUCCUUGAAAUACCACCCUUGUAUGUUUGAUGUUCUAACGCAGGGCCCUGAAUCGGGCUCGCGGACAGUGCCUGGUGGGUAGUUUGACUGGGGCGGUCUCCUCCCAAAGAGUAACGGAGGAGCACGAAGGUUGGCUAAUCCUGGUCGGACAUCAGGAGGUUAGUGCAAUGGCAUAAGCCAGCUUAACUGCGAGACGGACAGGUCGAGCAGGUACGAAAGUAGGUCAUAGUGAUCCGGUGGUUCUGAAUGGAAGGCCAUCGCUC
This 534-nucleotide ribosomal RNA is filed under the name uncultured bacterium. RNAcentral describes it as "bacterial LSU rRNA". It matches the Rfam family "Bacterial large subunit ribosomal RNA", at positions 1917 to 2450 of the family's 2925-position model. The record is from RNAcentral.